UUCGGCUUAAUAUAUUCAUUAAUAUAAAAGAUUGUAAAUCUUUGUAAAGCACGGCUAGUCGGGA
This 64-nucleotide transfer RNA is filed under the name Breviscolex orientalis. Its description in RNAcentral is "tRNA-Tyr". Lineage: Eukaryota; Metazoa; Platyhelminthes; Cestoda; Caryophyllidea; Capingentidae. The record is from RNAcentral.